UUAUUUGUCAAAUAUAUUUUGUAAUUGCGUGUUGUUACUUACCAAUUUGUGUGAAAAGUUUUAAUAAAUGUAUCUCAUGAACCGUAAGUUUGCGCAACCUAAAUCUUUGCAAAACUCUUUCUUUUAUGUUAAAGUUUGGGCUAAAUUUUGUUUUCCUAAUGGUGAUGGGACAUCCAUUGAAUCAUUAAAAACAGUGAAUGCCCAGCAUAGGAUACUAUGUGAAAAUCAUUUGAAUGAAUCUUCAUUUACCAGCAGCGAUAGGAAAAGACUUAACAAGUUAGAUUAAGAGUGAAUAGAGGAGGAUAUAGACCAAUUAAAAAACAAACAUUGUAGUCCAUAUAGAGCAAGUUAUGACAUCCAAGAACCAUCAACUAGCAAAGGUAUUUUGUAGGACUUGGACGUGAAAAAGUUCAGUGAACUUACAGCUCAAAAGCAAACGCUGUCUAAGAGAUGCAGAAAAAAUCUAUCUGAAAUAGUGAGGCUCUGAAAAAAGUUUCAAGGUUAUUUUGUCAGCUCUCUCAAGGCAUUAUUGAACAAAAUUCCAAUGGUAUGUGGAAUCAACAGCCCAGUAAUACAGACAGUAAAAGAAAUCACAAAAGACCAAGAUGUCAAUGAUAAUUUAUGUAAAAUGGCUUUUGAUGAAAUGUCAAUAAGAAAAAAUCUGACAUAUAACGUAAAACUCAAUGCUAAGGCCGUACUAGUGUGAUAGCAAACCAUAGUCGAACUUUCAUGGUUAUUGGUGUUCGAAAAUGCUGGAAACAGCCAAUAGCAUUUUACUUCUCAGGAGAUUGUGACACAGCAGACAAGUCAGCAGCUCUUGUCGAGGAGGUACAGUAAAGUGGAGCCACAUAGAGGAGUUUUAUAAUAAAGAUCGCGAGAAUCCCAACCGUGUUUGCUCCAGCUUUAACCCAGCACCACUUACAACCAGUACAGAAUGGCAAACAGAAAAUCAAAGAGCGCCUAGCAGAUCAAAUUUUAAGCCAUUCGGUUGCAGUUGGAAUAUUUGCCAAAAUGAAUGAUGACAAGACGCCCCUGGAACAACUGUCGCUGGACAAGCUUUUCGACUGAACGGAGAUUCGACCGACAGGAAAGA
Long non-coding RNA from Pieris brassicae (large cabbage white), 1093 nucleotides. RefSeq lists it as uncharacterized. The transcript has 6 exons. The record is from RefSeq and is a predicted model, not a curated record. NCBI's taxonomy places the organism in Eukaryota, Metazoa, Arthropoda, Insecta, Lepidoptera, Pieridae.